This is a non-coding RNA of Potamilus streckersoni, 77 nucleotides long. The record is from the annotation of a GenBank genome assembly. NCBI's taxonomy places the organism in Eukaryota, Metazoa, Mollusca, Bivalvia, Unionida, Unionidae.
GACCGUUCCGGUGGCCUAGUGGUUAGAGCGUCCGCCUCAGAUGCGGUAGGUCGUGGGUUCGAUCCCCGGCUGAGUCA